This 2921-nucleotide ribosomal RNA is filed under the name Salmonella enterica subsp. enterica serovar Adjame. RNAcentral's name for it is "23S ribosomal RNA". It matches the Rfam family "Bacterial large subunit ribosomal RNA". Lineage: Bacteria; Pseudomonadati; Pseudomonadota; Gammaproteobacteria; Enterobacterales; Enterobacteriaceae. The record is from RNAcentral.
GGGUUGUGAGGUUAAGCGACUAAGCGUACACGGUGGAUGCCCUGGCAGUCAGAGGCGAUGAAGGGCGUGCUAAUCUGCGAUAAGCGCCGGUAAGGUGAUAUGAACCGUUAUAACCGGCGAUACCCGAAUGGGGAAACCCAGUGUGAUUCGUCACACUAUCAUUAACUGAAUCCAUAGGUUAAUGAGGCGAACCGGGGAACUGAAACAUCUAAGUACCCCGAGGAAAAGAAAUCAACCGAGAUUCCCCCAGUAGCGGCGAGCGAACGGGGAGGAGCCCAGAGCCUGAAUCAGCAUGUGUGUUAGUGGAAGCGUCUGGAAAGGCGCGCGAUACAGGGUGACAGCCCCGUACACAAAAGCGCAUGUGCUGUGAGCUCGAUGAGUAGGGCGGGACACGUGGUAUCCUGUCUGAAUAUGGGGACCAUCCUCCAAGGCUAAAUACUCCUGACUGACCGAUAGUGAACCAGUACCGUGAGGGAAAGGCGAAAAGAACCCCGGCGAGGGGAGUGAAAAAGAACCUGAAACCGUGUACGUACAAGCAGUGGGAGCACAGGUUUACCUGUGUGACUGCGUACCUUUUGUAUAAUGGGUCAGCGACUUAUAUUCUGUAGCAAGGUUAACCGUAUAGGGGAGCCGCAGGGAAACCGAGUCUUAAUUGGGCGUUAAGUUGCAGGGUAUAGACCCGAAACCCGGUGAUCUAGCCAUGGGCAGGUUGAAGGUUGGGUAACACUAACUGGAGGACCGAACCGACUAAUGUUGAAAAAUUAGCGGAUGACCUGUGGCUGGGGUGAAAGGCCAAUCAAACCGGGAGAUAGCUGGUUCUCCCCGAAAGCUAUUUAGGUAGCGCCUCGUGAAUUCAUCUCCGGGGGUAGAGCACUGUUUCGGCUAGGGGGCCAUCCCGGCUUACCAACCCGAUGCAAACUGCGAAUACCGGAGAAUGUUAUCACGGGAGACACACGGCGGGUGCUAACGUCCGUCGUGAAGAGGGAAACAACCCAGACCGCCAGCUAAGGUCCCAAAGUCAUGGUUAAGUGGGAAACGAUGUGGGAAGGCCCAGACAGCCAGGAUGUUGGCUUAGAAGCAGCCAUCAUUUAAAGAAAGCGUAAUAGCUCACUGGUCGAGUCGGCCUGCGCGGAAGAUGUAACGGGGCUAAACCAUGCACCGAAGCUGCGGCAGCGACACUGUGUGUUGUUGGGUAGGGGAGCGUUCUGUAAGCCUGCGAAGGUGGCCUGUGAGGGUUGCUGGAGGUAUCAGAAGUGCGAAUGCUGACAUAAGUAACGAUAAAGCGGGUGAAAAGCCCGCUCGCCGGAAGACCAAGGGUUCCUGUCCAACGUUAAUCGGGGCAGGGUGAGUCGACCCCUAAGGCGAGGCCGAAAGGCGUAGUCGAUGGGAAACGGGUUAAUAUUCCCGUACUUGGUGUUACUGCGAAGGGGGGACGGAGAAGGCUAUGUUGGCCGGGCGACGGUUGUCCCGGUUUAAGCGUGUAGGUGUGUGUUCCAGGUAAAUCCGGUUCACUUUAACACUGAGGCGUGACGACGAGGCACUACGGUGCUGAAGCAACAAAUGCCCUGCUUCCAGGAAAAGCCUCUAAGCAUCAGGUAACAUCAAAUCGUACCCCAAACCGACACAGGUGGUCAGGUAGAGAAUACCAAGGCGCUUGAGAGAACUCGGGUGAAGGAACUAGGCAAAAUGGUGCCGUAACUUCGGGAGAAGGCACGCUGACACGUAGGUGAAGUGAUUUACUCACGGAGCUGAAGUCAGUCGAAGAUACCAGCUGGCUGCAACUGUUUAUUAAAAACACAGCACUGUGCAAACACGAAAGUGGACGUAUACGGUGUGACGCCUGCCCGGUGCCGGAAGGUUAAUUGAUGGGGUCAGCGCAAGCGAAGCUCCUGAUCGAAGCCCCGGUAAACGGCGGCCGUAACUAUAACGGUCCUAAGGUAGCGAAAUUCCUUGUCGGGUAAGUUCCGACCUGCACGAAUGGCGUAAUGAUGGCCAGGCUGUCUCCACCCGAGACUCAGUGAAAUUGAACUCGCUGUGAAGAUGCAGUGUACCCGCGGCAAGACGGAAAGACCCCGUGAACCUUUACUAUAGCUUGACACUGAACAUUGAGCCUUGAUGUGUAGGAUAGGUGGGAGGCUUUGAAGUGUGGACGCCAGUCUGCAUGGAGCCGACCUUGAAAUACCACCCUUUAAUGUUUGAUGUUCUAACGUGGACCCGUAAUCCGGGUUGCGGACAGUGUCUGGUGGGUAGUUUGACUGGGGCGGUCUCCUCCUAAAGAGUAACGGAGGAGCACGAAGGUUGGCUAAUCCCGGUCGGACAUCAGGAGGUUAGUGCAAUGGCAUAAGCCAGCUUGACUGCGAGCGUGACGGCGCGAGCAGGUGCGAAAGCAGGUCAUAGUGAUCCGGUGGUUCUGAAUGGAAGGGCCAUCGCUCAACGGAUAAAAGGUACUCCGGGGAUAACAGGCUGAUACCGCCCAAGAGUUCAUAUCGACGGCGGUGUUUGGCACCUCGAUGUCGGCUCAUCACAUCCUGGGCUGAAGUAGGUCCCAAGGGUAUGGCUGUUCGCCAUUUAAAGUGGUACGCGAGCUGGGUUUAGAACGUCGUGAGACAGUUCGGUCCCUAUCUGCCGUGGGCGCUGGAGAACUGAGGGGCUGCUCCUAGUACGAGAGGACCGGAGUGGACGCAUCACUGGUGUUCGGGUUGUCAUGCCAAUGGCACUGCCCGGUAGCUAAAUGCGGAAGAGAUAAGUGCUGAAAGCAUCUAAGCACGAAACUUGCCCCGAGAUGAGUUCUCCCUGAGACUUAGAGUCUCCUGAAGGAACGUUGAAGACGACGACGUUGAUAGGCCGGGUGUGUAAGCGCAGCGAUGCGUUGAGCUAACCGGUACUAAUGAACCGUGAGGCUUAACCUUACAACGCCGAAG